GAUUAACGCUGGCGGCGUGCAUAACACAUGCAAGUCGAACGAUGAAACUUAAAUGAUUUCUUCGGAAUGAACUUAAGUGGAUUAGUGGCGGACGGGUGAGUAACGCGUGAGUAACCUGCCUUACACAAGGGGAUAGCCGUUGGAAACGACGAAUAAUACCCUAUGAAACUAUCACUUCGCAUGAAGCGAUAGUCAAAGUGUUAGCGGUGUAAGAUGGACUUGCGUCUGAUUAGCUAGUUGGUGAGAAAAAAGCCCACCAAGGCAACGAUCAGUAGCCGGCAUGAGAGAGUGGACGGCCACAUUGGGACUGGGACACGGCCCAGACUCCUACGGGAGGCAGCAGUGGGGAAUUUAGCACAAUGGGGGAAACCCAGAUGCAGCGACGCCGCGUGAUUUAGAAGGCCUUCGGGUUGUAAAAAUCUUUUGUAUAGGAAGAGAAUGACAGUACUAUACGGAUAAGGUCCGGCUAAUUACGUG
This 477-nucleotide ribosomal RNA is filed under the name uncultured bacterium. Its description in RNAcentral is "partial 16S ribosomal RNA". It matches the Rfam family "Bacterial small subunit ribosomal RNA", at positions 28 to 507 of the family's 1533-position model. The record is from RNAcentral.